CGAACGGGUGAGUAAUGCGUGACCAACCUGCCCCAUGCUCCAGAAUAGCUCUUGGAAACGGGUGGUAAUGCUGGAUGCUCCAACUUGACGCAUGUCUUGUUGGGAAAGUGUUUAGUGGCAUGGGAUGGGGUCACGUCCUAUCAGCUUGUAGGCGGGGUAAUGGCCCACCUAGGCUUCGACGGGUAGCCGGCCUGAGAGGGCGGACGGCCACAUUGGGACUGAGAUACGGCCCAGACUCCUACGGGAGGCAGCAGGU
Molecule: ribosomal RNA, 256 nt
Filed under: uncultured Gardnerella sp.
Lineage: Bacteria; Bacillati; Actinomycetota; Actinomycetes; Bifidobacteriales; Bifidobacteriaceae
Description: partial 16S ribosomal RNA
Rfam family: Bacterial small subunit ribosomal RNA
Source: RNAcentral